AGAAGAAAACACCUGUGUGGAAACCAUGGCAAUAUUGCUUCCAGCCCGAGUCGACGGAUUCUCCACGCCCCCUCACGCCUCCUGCCGGACUCCCGACGCCUCCACUCCGGACGCCACGCCGGACAAAGCAAAAUAUCCGUUGCCUUAAAGUCCCCCCAAAACUGGUUCCUCGCCUUCUCCUCCCUCCAUGUCUGAGGACACAGAUUCUUUGAGAUCUGCUCUCCGGGAAAAACAGCUUCAAACCCCUCAUCUGCUUAAAAAGGAAGGAAAAGAAAUGAACAAACCACGAGUUGCCUAUGAAAUCAUCUGCCCAGGCAUUUCACGAAAUAAAAUGAAAUUACGAAAUAAGGAAUUGGGAAACACCUGCAGGUUUUAGAAUCGAAGUCUCCUCCUCCAACCUCCUCCUCCUCCCCCCCCCCCUCCUUUUCUUUUUAAGAUUUUGUUCUUAAGCAAUCUCCACACCUAGCUUGGGGUUGGAACCCACAACCCCCAGAUCAAGAGUCACAUGUUCCACGGACUGAGCCGGCCAAGUGCCCUGAACUGAAGACUCUUUUUAUGUCGACUUCUAUCCCUUUGCCUCUUAGGGAGACCUAGUAGAAACAUCUCCUUUAUUUCUUCUUCA
This is a long non-coding RNA of Panthera uncia (snow leopard), 622 nucleotides long. RefSeq lists it as uncharacterized. The record is from RefSeq and is a predicted model, not a curated record. Lineage: Eukaryota; Metazoa; Chordata; Mammalia; Carnivora; Felidae. The transcript is spliced from 2 exons.